Bombyx mori (domestic silkworm) is the source of this 882-nucleotide long non-coding RNA. RefSeq lists it as uncharacterized. The record is from RefSeq and is a predicted model, not a curated record. Lineage: Eukaryota; Metazoa; Arthropoda; Insecta; Lepidoptera; Bombycidae. The transcript has 3 exons.
UCUCCGAAUAUCAGCAAGAGCGUAUCUAUCCUUAUUUUGCGUUUCACAAUCACGGAUAAGUGCUAUCUCUCUUUAACCAACAGUAGAUAGCUUCUUCCCUCCGAUUUAUCCGAGCCUCUUGAUACGUUUCAUUCUACUACAAAUACGAAACAACAUCAGGAUCAAGACUUAUUUUAUUUUAUUCUAAAUUAUAACUAUAAUUUAACCAGCAUAUUGUAGACUAUCAUAAACACAUUUGUUUAUAACAAAAAGUAAUAAAAACAUAUGUAGAUUUUUUUAAAUUGGACGUAUUGCUAUUUUUAUCCUAGUCGAAAUUAUGAAACGAAACGUUUUGACAGUCCGUUUGCCAAUAAGCAGUGAUCAGUUUCUUUUGUUUGUUUUUCUAUUGUUUACCUACUAUAUUAGGUGAUGACUUACCUCCAAAACGCUUUAAAACUUUCGUUUAUAAUUCUAAGUGUGUUUAUAAUUAAAGAGCUACAGUGAAAUAAAAUGAAUUCUUCAAGAAAGGCAGCACCCAUGACAAAAGAUGAGACGAUGAUUCUAGCAGAACUUGUGGCGGUGAAAAAACACAUCAAUAAUAAGGCAACAAAUGCCACAAACAAUAAAUUGAAGCAGCAGGCUUGGCCAACCCUUGUAAAUGAUUUUAAUUCGUCGAUUCGUCGUUUCCCAUGAACUCCAUCGCAGCUUCGACUAUAAUGGGAAAACUUAAAAAACGCUACGGCAACAUAAGAAACAACCUUAGUAAGGCUGGAGGUGGUAAGGAUUGCAGAUGAAAUUUUGGAUAAAGCAUGCACAUUGUUGUAGGUCACAUAUAUUUUUAACACUUUUACAGCCAAGCGGAAACAAGAUGGAAGAAAAGAAAUGCAAUGUAUUAGCAGAAUA